AUCGCUUCUCGGCCUUUUGGCUAAG
RNAcentral lists this non-coding RNA (25 nucleotides) under Xenopus tropicalis (tropical clawed frog). RNAcentral also lists the same sequence under 2 other names. The record is from RNAcentral. Lineage: Eukaryota; Metazoa; Chordata; Amphibia; Anura; Pipidae.